RNAcentral lists this ribosomal RNA (497 nucleotides) under uncultured bacterium. Its description in RNAcentral is "partial 16S ribosomal RNA". It matches the Rfam family "Bacterial small subunit ribosomal RNA", at positions 28 to 507 of the family's 1533-position model. The record is from RNAcentral.
GAUGAACGCUGGCGGCGUGCCUAAUACAUGCAAGUCGAGCGAACGGACGAGAAGCUUGCUUCUCUGAUGUUAGCGGCGGACGGGUGAGUAACACGUGGAUAACCUACCUAUAAGACUGGGAUAACUUCGGGAAACCGGAGCUAAUACCGGAGAAUAUUUUGAACCGCAUGGUUCAAAAGUGAAAGACGGUCUUGCUGUCACUUAUAGAUGGAUCCGCGCUGCAUUAGCUAGUUGGUAAGGUAACGGCUUACCAAGGCAACGAUGCAGAGCCGACCUGAGAGGGUGAUCGGCCACACUGGAACUGAGACACGGUCCAGACUCCUACGGGAGGCAGCAGUAGGGAAUCUUCCGCAAUGGGCGAAAGCCUGACGGAGCAACGCCGCGUGAGUGAUGAAGGUCUUCGGAUCGUAAAACUCUGUUAUUAGGGAAGAACAUAUGUGUAAGUAACUGUGCACAUCUUGACGGUACCUAAUCAGAAAGCCACGGCUAACUACGUG